Rhea pennata is the source of this 2364-nucleotide RNA transcript. It is a transcript of the gene named ALG1 chitobiosyldiphosphodolichol beta-mannosyltransferase, with no coding region annotated. The transcript is spliced from 15 exons. NCBI's taxonomy places the organism in Eukaryota, Metazoa, Chordata, Aves, Rheiformes, Rheidae. The record is from RefSeq and is a predicted model, not a curated record.
AUGGCGGCGGGCGGCGCGGUGCUGGCGGCGCUGGGCGCGCUGGCGGCGGCGCUGCUGUGGCUGCGGUGGCGGCGGCGGGCGGCGGGCGGCGCGGGGCGGGUGUGCGUGGCCGUGCUGGGCGACCUGGGCCGCAGCCCGCGCAUGCAGUACCACGCGCUCUCGCUGGCCCGCCACGGGCGCGGCGUCACGCUGCUGGGCUACCUCGAGACGAAGCCGCACAGCGACGUUUUGGACAACGAAAACAUCCGGAUCGUGCCCAUCUCGGCUCUUAAAUCGUUGCAAGUUGGCCCUAAGAUUUUCCAGUAUGUUGUAAAAAUUAUUGCCCAAGCAACGCAGUUACUGUACACAAUGUUGAAGAUAGACCAGCCGUCCUAUGUUCUUCUUCAGAAUCCUCCAGGUCUACCUAGUAUAGCUGUUGCCUGGGUAGUGUGUCUUAUAUGGAGAAGCAAACUGAUAAUUGAUUGGCAUAACUAUGGAUAUACUGUGAUGAGUCUAAUUCAUGGAAGAAAUCACCUGCUAGUACAAAUUGCAAAAUGGUAUGAAAAGCUUUUUGGGCAUUUGUCAGACUACAACUUCUGUGUCACUAACGCAAUGAAAGAAGAUCUAUGGGAGAAGUGCAAUAUAAAGGCGAUAACUUUGUAUGACAAGCCAGCUUCUUAUUUUAAGGAAACACCUUUAGAACUUCAGCAUCAAUUAUAUAUGAAGCUUGCCAAAGUCUAUGAACCUUUUAAAGCACAGUAUGUUACAGAAUCUGUCAAAUCGAGUGCUGAGAGGUCUGCCUUCACAGAAAUGGAUCAUAAAAAUGGAGGCGUGAUAAAAACUAGAGGACGGCCAGCUCUUCUAAUCAGCAGUACGAGCUGGACAGAGGAUGAAGAUUUUUCUGUCCUUUUAAAAGCUUUAGAAGAUUAUGAAAGGUAUAUCAACGAGGGAAUCAAGCUUCCAUCUUUAGUAUGUGUGAUAACAGGCAAAGGACCCCUAAAAGAGUACUACAACCAACUGAUUGAUAAAUUACACUUCAAACAUAUCCAGAUCUGUACACCGUGGCUUGAAGCUGAGGACUACCCUCUUUUGCUUGGCUCUGCAGAUCUAGGUGUGUGUCUCCAUAAAUCAUCCAGUGGUUUGGAUUUACCUAUGAAAGUGGUAGAUAUGUUUGGCUGCUGUUUACCUGUAUGUGCAAUACACUUUGAAUGUUUACAUGAACUUGUGAAACACAAUGAAAAUGGUCUGAUAUUUAGAGAUUCAAAUGAGCUUGCUGAACAGCUGAAGUUUUUAAUCAUUUCAACUAGGGAUAAGCAUUUCAACAUACCUCAUUCUUCACAAUUUGAGUCUCUGUGCAAGUAAGAAUAGUACUGAAGUUGCAGUUGAGAUCAUCAUGUGCUGAAUAUGGAGGACCAUUUAGCUUCAAAGUUCUUCAGACAGCUCUUCCAAUGAGUGUUGUCCUUGUACACUGAAGUAAAUGUGCCCGUUUACCUCAAGAAAUACCAUAAAAUGUAUUCCUAUUUGAACAGAUGAAUACAAGAGGAAAAAAGAUUAAAGUAUGUAUUAUCUAAUAAAAAGGCACUUCACCUUCUGAAUGCUCACUCAGAUAAAAAAAAGCCACAGAAGAUGAAGAUUGGAAAAAAAAGCUUUACAAAACUUACGAGCAACAUGAAGAAUUUUGUGACAAGCAGGAUAAAGGAGCUCCUGUUUGAGCUGUGAGCAUGCAUGCAUUCCAUAAAUAAUACCUUUUGAAUUCUUCCCCUUCUUGGGGAGAGGUGGCUAAAACAAAAACAUGUAAUGGGUUUACUUCUGUAUAUCUGAUAUUGUUCAACUUGAAUAAGACAACUCUUCAAGUUUCAAGUUAUCUAUCAUCUACCUCUUUCCCUUCAUUGCUGUGGGAGGAGGAUACUAAGUAUUUGUUUUCUCUUAAGUAGCUUUUAAAACAAAGUACAGAUGUGGAAGUCAAAACAGGAGAAAGCAACACAUUUGGUUAUUUGCUUCAAGAUUAAUACUGUCAAGCAGGAAAAUGAUUAAUGGAUUAUCAGAAGUUUCAGAAAAGGUGAGAUAAACUUUUCCUUCUUGCAGUACACCUACACCUAGACAAAAAGGAAUGCUGGUGUGGAAUAUGGUGGUUCUUGUUUUCUGACCAGCCUGAGAGGAUGGCUUCCUGAUAGCUACUUGUGUCAGUUCUUACGUGAAAGAAGUGUAAAUCAAGUUCUGAUUUUUGUCAUUACUGCAGAGUAAAGAUGCAUCUAAUUUACAGCAGAAUCAAUUUCCUUCUUUUACAGCAUCAUAUAAAUUCGUGACACAGUCUACUGUGUUCACUGUAGGUAUUACUCAUUUUGUUCUAAGAUAACUCACAUUGCAAGUAUACAAGUAUACAUA